GAUCCUGGCUCAGGACGAACGCUGGCGGCGUGCCUAACACAUGCAAGUCGAACGGAAGCAAAGAUUUCGGUUUUUGCUUUAGUGGCGAACGGGUGAGUAACGCGUGAGGAACCUGCCUUUCAGUGGGGGACAACAGUUGGAAACGACUGCUAAUACCGCAUAAUGCUUUUUGACGGCAUCAUUGAAAAGCCAAAGAUUUAUUGCUGAAAGAUGGCCUCGCGUCUGAUUAGCUAGUUGGUGGGGUAACGGCCC
RNAcentral lists this ribosomal RNA (252 nucleotides) under uncultured bacterium. Its description in RNAcentral is "partial 16S ribosomal RNA". It matches the Rfam family "Bacterial small subunit ribosomal RNA", at positions 15 to 266 of the family's 1533-position model. The record is from RNAcentral.